UUAUAUUGUCUUAAUGAAGUGAAUCGUUCAAAUGGCAGUAAAAUCUCCAAGGAUCACAGCUCGAGAACCAUUGGCUUCCUGUAUACUAUAGGAGUCAAUUCAAGGUACUAAUUCACACCUAUAAAGCACUGAACAACUCUAGCCCCUCUUAUAUCUCCUCACAGAUCCAUAGGUAUGUCCCUUCUUGGUCUCUCCGCUCUGCCCGUGACCACCUCCUGUCCGUUGUCCACACCUGUAUGGCCAACUCACGCUUGCAAGACUUCUCACGGGCGGCUCCCUUCCUAUGGAAUAGACUGCCUACCGCCAUCAGACUCUCCCUAGUCUUGCAUCUUUUAAGAAGUGCCUUAAAACCGAUCUCUUUAGGAAAGCUUAUGGCCUCCCAGAGUAACCUCUAUCUCACAUACCUGUAAGCUAAAUUGAGCAGGGUCCUCUUCAACCUAUUGUUCCCGUAAGUUUAUUUGUAAUUGUCCUAUUUAUAGUUAAAUCCCUCUCUCAUAAUAUUGUAAAGCGCUACGGAAUCUGUUGGCACUAUAUAAAUGCCAAUAAUAAUAAUAAUAACUGCAGAAGUUAGUUUCUUCUUGGGAUCUCCAAAACUACAAUCCGACCUCACCUAUAUCCACACAAAAGAUGCUUGGAAGAGUUUCCAGAAAAAAGUCUCUACUCUUAUCCAAAAACAAACUCAAGCAUCUUCAGUUUUCCAGACACUACUAGAAUUUCAAAUGGGAUAGGAUUGAUGCAUGGUCAGAAAAAAACAAAAUGGAACAGUUUGGCACUAAACAUCAAAUGCGGGUUUAGAGCACACAGAGUGGUAGCCAUAUGAAACUAACAUGGCCUUCUCAGUCCCCUGACUAGAACCUCAGAGAAAAACUGUAGGAUGAACUGAAGAAGAGAGCCCAACAGUGUCGACCUCAAAAUUUGAACAAUCUGGAGAGAUUCUAAAUGGAUGUAUGGUCUCAGAUCCAUUGACAUGCAUAUUUCAAAUUUCAUAUUUAUAUUGGAAAAGGGAGGUAGCACAAAGUAUUGACUAAAACAGUGUCAAUAAUUCUG
Molecule: non-coding RNA, 1047 nt
Organism: Pelobates cultripes (western spadefoot toad)
Lineage: Eukaryota; Metazoa; Chordata; Amphibia; Anura; Pelobatidae
Source: the annotation of a GenBank genome assembly